UCACUGCACAAUGCUGCAUAUUCAUAACCUGAAUUAUCUUGUUGAUGAAGCAUGGAACAAGAACAAAAGGAGUGCAAGGCGACUGGGAAAAUUAUCCACGUAAAAGGCUUGUUGGAAGAGGAAGGUCUUCAGCAUGUGCCAUAAAGACAACAGAGAUGGCGCUUGUCUAAUAUUUAAGGAAAGGUAAUUCCAAAAGACUCUAAGGGAUAGUUGUCAAGUGGGUGAGGAAUGAACAAGAUUAUUAAAGUGAUGAGACACAGCAGACACCACAGGACAUGCUUAGACCGUUGAACCGUCACCAUUCUGCUGGACCCUCUUCCCCCAAUUCAAUUCAAUC
Rhineura floridana is the source of this 337-nucleotide long non-coding RNA. RefSeq lists it as uncharacterized. NCBI's taxonomy places the organism in Eukaryota, Metazoa, Chordata, Lepidosauria, Squamata, Rhineuridae. The transcript is spliced from 3 exons. The record is from RefSeq and is a predicted model, not a curated record.